UCCCUGGUAGCUUAGAGGGUAAAGCAUCUGCCUGCAAUGCAGGAGACCCAGGUUCAAUCCCUGGGUUGGGAA
Ovis aries (sheep) is the source of this 72-nucleotide transfer RNA. It matches the Rfam family "tRNA". From Rfam's summary of the family: Transfer RNA (tRNA) molecules are approximately 80 nucleotides in length. The record is from Rfam. NCBI's taxonomy places the organism in Eukaryota, Metazoa, Chordata, Mammalia, Artiodactyla, Bovidae.